Molecule: transfer RNA, 72 nt
Filed under: Candidatus Saccharimonadota bacterium
Lineage: Bacteria; Candidatus Saccharimonadota
Description: tRNA-Asn
Rfam family: tRNA
About the family: Transfer RNA (tRNA) molecules are approximately 80 nucleotides in length. Their secondary structure includes four short double-helical elements and three loops (D, anti-codon, and T loops).
Source: RNAcentral
UGGUUAGUAGCUCAGCGGUAGAGCAACGCACUGUUAAUGCGUAGCGCAUAGGUUCGAAUCCUAUCUAGCCAG